GACGAACGCUGGCGGCGUGCUUAACACAUGCAAGUCGAACGGAAAGGCCCUGCUUGCAGGGUACUCGAGUGGCGAACGGGUGAGUAACACGUGGGUGAUCUGCCCUGCACUUCGGGAUAAGCCUGGGAAACUGGGUCUAAUACCGGAUAGGAGCCAUUUUUAGUGUGAUGGUUGGAAAGUUUUUUCGGUGUAGGAUGAGCUCGCGGCCUAUCAGCUUGUUGGUGGGGUAAUGGCCUACCAAGGCGGCGACGGGUAGCCGGCCUGAGAGGGUGGACGGCCACAUUGGGACUGAGAGACGGCCCAGGCUCCUACGGGAGGCAGCAGUGGGGAAGCUUGCACAAUGGGCGCAAGCCUGAUGCAGCGACGCCGCGGGGGGGAUGACGGCCUUCGGGUUGUAAACUCCUUUCGCUAGGGACGAAGCUUUUUGUGACGGUACCUAGAUAAGAAGCACCGGCUAACUACGUG
RNAcentral lists this ribosomal RNA (465 nucleotides) under uncultured bacterium. RNAcentral's name for it is "partial 16S ribosomal RNA". It matches the Rfam family "Bacterial small subunit ribosomal RNA", at positions 28 to 507 of the family's 1533-position model. The record is from RNAcentral.